AUGGCACGCUGCAUGCUCAAGGCAAAGCAAGUGCCAAGCACGUAUUGGGGGGAGGCCGUGCUCACGGACGUCUUCAUCCUCAACCGCUCCUUCACAAGGAGCGUCAAUGGAAAGACGCCUUAUGAGGCGUGGUACGGAAGGAAGCCCGAUGUACGCUUCCUCCGCACCUUUGGCUGUGUCGGGCAUGUCAAGAUGGCACGCCCACAGCUGAAGAAGCUCGACGACAGGAGCACCCCAAUGGUGUUCAUGGGCUACGAGACGGGCUCUAAGGAGUACAAGAUGUAUGACCUCAUCUCAAAGCGUGUGCAUGUCUCUCGCGACGUCAUCUUCGACGAAGACGCGCGAUGGACUUGGGAGGCGUCGGGGGAGGCCCCGGCAAGCAGCUCCUUUACCGUGGAGUACCCGAUGUACUCUACGACCCCGGGAAGCAAAACCCCGGGAAGUGCCACUCCUGGAAGCUCGGGAGGUGUGGAUCCGGGAACAACAACCCCGAGAACACCGUCCCCGGGUAUGGUGUCGUCGGACACCAUAACGUCAAGCAAGAUGGGUCCCGGGAGGCAGUUCGCAACCCCGCCAACGGCGAUGUCGGAGCUGUUCGACGCCGAUGACAGCGUUGGCGCCCCCCACAGGUUUCGGCGCAUGGGGGAUCUCCUCGGUGAGGCUGCGGCAACACCGCAAUAG
This 681-nucleotide ribosomal RNA is filed under the name Triticum aestivum (bread wheat). Its description in RNAcentral is "partial small subunit ribosomal RNA". The record is from RNAcentral. Lineage: Eukaryota; Viridiplantae; Streptophyta; Magnoliopsida; Poales; Poaceae.